RNAcentral lists this ribosomal RNA (253 nucleotides) under uncultured bacterium. Its description in RNAcentral is "partial 16S ribosomal RNA". It matches the Rfam family "Bacterial small subunit ribosomal RNA", at positions 524 to 776 of the family's 1533-position model. The record is from RNAcentral.
UACGGAGGGUGCGAGCGUUGUCCGGAAUCACUGGGCGUAAAGGGCUCGUAGGCGGCCCUCUCAGUCGGAUGUGAAAUCCCCAGGCUUAACCUGGGAACGGCAUCCGAUACUGGAGGGCUUGAAUUCGGGAGAGGGAUGCAGAAUUCCAGGUGUAGCGGUGAAAUGCGUAGAUAUCUGGAGGAAUACCGGUGGCGAAGGCGGCAUCCUGGACCGAGAUUGACGCUGAGGAGCGAAAGCUAGGGGAGCAAACGGG